Ornithorhynchus anatinus (platypus) is the source of this 137-nucleotide small nucleolar RNA. NCBI's taxonomy places the organism in Eukaryota, Metazoa, Chordata, Mammalia, Monotremata, Ornithorhynchidae. The record is from RefSeq and is a predicted model, not a curated record.
CCCCUCUCAGGAUCACACCUGGAGAGUUCCCAGUACUGUACCAGUCUCGAUUGAAGGAGGGAGAUCAGGCAGAGGCCUAUCCAUUCCAUUCCUAGCUUGGGCAGCGGCUAGUGAGUGGAAGGCAAUCUGCUACAAGU